GUCAGAGUGGUGUAGUGGUUUGAGCAUUGGACUUUGACUCUGGAGAACAGGGUUCAAAUCCCCACUCAGCCA
RNAcentral lists this transfer RNA (72 nucleotides) under Phrynosoma platyrhinos (Desert horned lizard). RNAcentral's name for it is "tRNA-OTHER". The record is from RNAcentral. Lineage: Eukaryota; Metazoa; Chordata; Lepidosauria; Squamata; Phrynosomatidae.